Molecule: long non-coding RNA, 544 nt
Filed under: Homo sapiens (human)
Lineage: Eukaryota; Metazoa; Chordata; Mammalia; Primates; Hominidae
Description: non-protein coding lnc-CDH6-4:1
Source: RNAcentral
GUGGUCACCGUAGACCCAACACCAUGAUUAGUGAUGACAAACCAGAUUAUGACCUAGAUUUAUUUUUUAUAGCUGAUUAUUACAUGGAGGGUUUGAAAAAGGUGUUUAUUCUUCAUGGACUAAUUAAGGGCAGGGCCAAAUAUGUGAUGCUCAAUACGUGAUGUAGGAGAUGGGAGGCCAUGACAUUGUAGCCCUCUGUGUGUUCAAGGGGGCUAUGAAUUAUUUGCUCACCUGCUGGAUUACAUCAAAGCGCUGAUUAGAAAUAGUCAUAGUUCCAUUCCUAUGCUAUAGAUUUUAUCAGACUGAAGAGCUACUGUAAUCACCAGUCAAAAGGGGAGUGUAAAAGUAAUUGGCUGAGAUAAUCUCUUAAAUUUAACCAGAAAGAAUGUCACGAUUAUUAAGAUAUAAUUAACACUGGUGAAAUAAUGCAAAGCUUGCUUUCCUUGGUCAGAGAUAGUCAGGAUUGCAAGCUUGCUGGUGAACAUGACUCCAGAAAGUGUUGGAUAUACACCAGCCUCAUGUUUGUGUUAUCAGUGAAACUAAA